Molecule: ribosomal RNA, 103 nt
Filed under: Lophiola aurea
Lineage: Eukaryota; Viridiplantae; Streptophyta; Magnoliopsida; Dioscoreales; Nartheciaceae
Description: 4.5S ribosomal RNA
Source: RNAcentral
UAAGGUCACGGCGAGACGAGCCGUUUAGCAUUACGAUAGGUGUCAAGUGGAAGUGCAGUGAUGUAUGCAGCUGAGGCAUCCUAACAGACCGAGAGAUUUGAAC